Long non-coding RNA from Mastomys coucha (southern multimammate mouse), 334 nucleotides. RefSeq lists it as uncharacterized. The transcript is spliced from 3 exons. The record is from RefSeq and is a predicted model, not a curated record. Lineage: Eukaryota; Metazoa; Chordata; Mammalia; Rodentia; Muridae.
CCAUCCUUCCUGUCGUGAUGAUAAUGGACUAAACCUCAGAAACUGCCUGAAACAAGGACGGAAACCACGGAAGACCUGCAGCGCAGCAAACUGAAUCUUGCUUAAGGGCCCCUGUGCUUUCCUUUGUCAGAGUGCUGAACGGUCUGACAACACUCCCUGACACUCCUAUUUUGAGAACUACCACGUUUGAAUAGCAAAGGUCCCUCAAACUUCACCUGUCUUCCUGUGACUCACCAUGGCUGAAAUUCACCCGUGCCACGUACUCAGCAGAGAAAUUUUACCAUGUAGUCAAAUGAAAGGAAAAAUGUGUGCCCUUACAGGAUGUGCUCCCUAA